Molecule: transfer RNA, 76 nt
Filed under: Rhodospirillaceae bacterium
Lineage: Bacteria; Pseudomonadati; Pseudomonadota; Alphaproteobacteria; Rhodospirillales; Rhodospirillaceae
Description: tRNA-Lys
Rfam family: tRNA
About the family: Transfer RNA (tRNA) molecules are approximately 80 nucleotides in length. Their secondary structure includes four short double-helical elements and three loops (D, anti-codon, and T loops).
Source: RNAcentral
GGGCGCGUAGCUCAGUUGGUAGAGCAUUCGACUUUUAAUCGAACGGUCGCAGGUUCGAUCCCUGCCGCGCCUACCA